Molecule: long non-coding RNA, 218 nt
Filed under: Homo sapiens (human)
Lineage: Eukaryota; Metazoa; Chordata; Mammalia; Primates; Hominidae
Description: non-protein coding lnc-ACO1-6:1
Source: RNAcentral
CAAGCAGUGCAAGGGCAUCGUGGACUGCAUCGUCCGCAUCCCCAAAGAUCAGGGCGUGCUGUCCUUCUGGAGGGGCAACCUGGCCAAUGUCAUCCGCUACUCCCCCACGCAAGCCCUCAAUUUCGCCUUCAAGGAUAAGUACAAGCAGAUCUUCCUGGCGGGCGUGGACAAGCACACGCAGUUCUGCAGGUACUUUGCGGGCAACCUGGCCUCCGGCC